UUCUAGGCGAACCAAGAAUGUUUGUG
This 26-nucleotide non-coding RNA is filed under the name Homo sapiens (human). The record is from RNAcentral. Lineage: Eukaryota; Metazoa; Chordata; Mammalia; Primates; Hominidae.